AGGACGAACGCUGGCGGCGUGCUUAACACAUGCAAGUCGAGCGGAAAGGCCCUUCGGGGUACUCGAGCGGCGAACGGGUGAGUAACACGUGAGUAAUCUGCCCAUAGCUCUGGGAUAGCUCCGGGAAAACCGGGAUUAAUACCGGAUAUGACCACUUUAGACAUCUGCUGUGGUGGAAAGAAUUUCGGCUAGGGAUGAGCUCGCGGCCUAUCAGCUUGUUGGUGGGGUAACGCCUACCAAGGCGACGACGGGUA
This 254-nucleotide ribosomal RNA is filed under the name uncultured bacterium. RNAcentral describes it as "partial small subunit ribosomal RNA". It matches the Rfam family "Bacterial small subunit ribosomal RNA", at positions 26 to 285 of the family's 1533-position model. The record is from RNAcentral.